RNAcentral lists this ribosomal RNA (397 nucleotides) under uncultured bacterium. RNAcentral's name for it is "partial 16S ribosomal RNA". It matches the Rfam family "Bacterial small subunit ribosomal RNA", at positions 523 to 918 of the family's 1533-position model. The record is from RNAcentral.
AUACGUAGGUGGCGAGCGUUGUCCGGAAUUACUGGGCGUAAAGGAUGCGUAGGUGGAUAUUUAAGUGGGAUGUGAAAUCCCCGGGCUCAACCCGGGAACUGCAUUCCAAACUGGGUAUCUAGAGUGCAGGAGAGGAAAGCGGAAUUCCUAGUGUAGCGGUGAAAUGCGUAGAUAUUAGGAGGAACACCAGUGGCGAAGGCGGUUUUCUGGACUGUAACUGGAACUGAGGCAUGAAAGCGCGGGUAACAAACAGGAUUAGAUUCCCUGGUAGUCCACGCCGUAAACGAUGGGUACUAGGUGUAGGAGGUAUCGACCCCUUCUGUGCCGUCGUUAACACAAUAAGUACCCCGCCUGGGGAGUACGGUCGCAAGACUAAAACUCAAAUGAAUUGACGGGG